UUAUUAAUAUCAGAAGGGAUGAUGGGUGGCCGAUGAUUAACUAAUUCUAUUUUCAUAAUUUGAAAUCGCAUAUUUCAAAUCAUACAAAAUAGGAUUAGUCUGCCCAUUUUCUAUAUAUUUUAGAGCUAUCGUGAAAAUAGCUCUUAUUUGAUAAUGCACAGGUACGACUAAUCCUUCCAUAUGAACUGGGAGGAUUUUUUU
This is a non-coding RNA of Bacillus sp. FJAT-22058, 201 nucleotides long. Lineage: Bacteria; Bacillati; Bacillota; Bacilli; Caryophanales; Bacillaceae. The record is from Rfam.